AACGUAGGAGGCGAGCGUUAUCCGGAUUUACUGGGUGUAAAGCGCGUGCAGGCGGUGCGGCAAGUUGUGUGUGAAAGCGCUCUGGCUCAACCGGGCGAGGACGGACAAAACUGGCGCACUGGAGGCGGGCAGAGGCGUGUGGAAUUCCGGGUGUAGUGGUGAAAUGCGUAGAGAUCCGGAGGAACACCAGUGGCGAAGGCGACACGCUGGGCCUGGCCUGACGCUCAGACGCGAAAGCAUGGGGAGCGAA
RNAcentral lists this ribosomal RNA (250 nucleotides) under uncultured bacterium. RNAcentral's name for it is "partial 16S ribosomal RNA". It matches the Rfam family "Bacterial small subunit ribosomal RNA", at positions 524 to 772 of the family's 1533-position model. The record is from RNAcentral.